CAUAUCACCACCCUCUAUCCCCCUACGCACCCAACAUAUCUCUAGCCUCUUAUCUGUGUGUAUAUAUGUAAAGAGAGAGAGAGAGAGAGAGAGAGAAGACAGUCAUAUUAUUCUCUUGAAUAAGAAGAAAAGUUGAGUAAAAAACUUUUUUUUGAUGGUUUGUUUCUGCUUUUUGGUGGAUCAGAAGAGGGUGAUCAAGAAGAGCAAGCCGGUGGCCGGAAUGUGUUCGCGUUGCUGCCACGGCGCGAGGGUGGCGGAUAUGAAAACCAUGACAAGAUUUUGUUAUAUCCCAUUUUAUUGGAAAUCUUGGAAGGCUGUAAUCUGCAGUUUUUGUGGGGCUAUUCUCAAAUCUUACAGGUGAACCCAUUCUGCAGUUUUCGCACCUGAAUCAGAAUACGCUGCUUAUAUCUUUGUGACAUGCGAUGAGAUGCACAAAGGAAAGGAAGAAGGCCGGCUUUAGCGACUUGAAGAUCGUUCCUUUGUUACUUUACAUAAGAGUCUAUGUUCCGUACAGAGUACUGCGUUUAUACAGUUAUGAUUCGAAAUACCAAACGUCUCGUAUAGCUAUUUAAGGAUUGAAAAACUAGAUUUAAACCAGUAAAUUUUAUCACUUAUUGAUGAGUCUAAAGUUCUUAUCCCCUGUUUGAUUUAUGUAAAAAUCAGAUUUUUAGUAUAUUUUGAUGAAAGUUGAUAGAAUAUGUAUUUGAAAAAUUGUGGAUCCAAUAAAAUACGUUAUUGAAAUGAAUUAUUGAUUUGACUAAAAUUUUAAUUCAACUUUCUAGCUGAACCAUGAGAAUAUGAAUACUAUAUAUUUCUUCUUUAGUAGCUGCAGGGAACCAGCAAAUUCAUUAAAUGCUAGAAAUUUAUCACAGAACUUGUUUGAAAAUGUUAUUUUUGAAAAAAAAAAAAA
RNAcentral lists this long non-coding RNA (910 nucleotides) under Olea europaea subsp. europaea. The record is from RNAcentral. Lineage: Eukaryota; Viridiplantae; Streptophyta; Magnoliopsida; Lamiales; Oleaceae.